Molecule: ribosomal RNA, 292 nt
Filed under: uncultured bacterium
Lineage: Bacteria
Description: partial 16S ribosomal RNA
Rfam family: Bacterial small subunit ribosomal RNA
Source: RNAcentral
GUGCCAGCCGCCGCGGUAAGACGAACCGUACGAACGUUAUUCGGAAUCACUGGGCUUAAAGGGUGCGUAGGCGGUCCGGUAAGUUGGGUGUGAAAGCCCUCGGCUCAACCGAGGAAUUGCGCCCAAAACUGUCGGACUUGAGGGAGACAGAGGUAAGCGGAACUUAGGGUGGAGCGGUGAAAUGCGUUGAUAUCCUAAGGAACACCAGGGGCGAAAGCGGCUUACUGGGUCUCUUCUGACGCUGAGGCACGAAAGCUAGGGUAGCGAACGGGAUUAGAUACCCGCGUAGUCC